RNAcentral lists this transfer RNA (71 nucleotides) under Nippostrongylus brasiliensis. It matches the Rfam family "tRNA". Rfam says of the family: Transfer RNA (tRNA) molecules are approximately 80 nucleotides in length. Their secondary structure includes four short double-helical elements and three loops (D, anti-codon, and T loops). The record is from Rfam by way of RNAcentral. Lineage: Eukaryota; Metazoa; Nematoda; Chromadorea; Rhabditida; Heligmosomidae.
GCCUCGACAGCUCAGUCGUGAGAGUGUUGGGCUGAAGAUCUAAAGGUCACCGGUUCGAUCCUGGUUCGGCG